Molecule: small nuclear RNA, 107 nt
Organism: Apodemus sylvaticus (European woodmouse)
Lineage: Eukaryota; Metazoa; Chordata; Mammalia; Rodentia; Muridae
Source: RefSeq, a predicted model, not a curated record
GUGCUUGCUUUGGCAGCACAUAUACUAAAACUGGAAUGAUACAGAGAAGAUUAACAUGGCCCCUGUUCAAGGAUGAUAUGAAAAUUCGUGAAGCAUUCUAUAUUUUU